CUUCCAGAUCUUUGGGUUCCAUGCAAAAAGAAACAUCAAUGAGUGAUUUAUCGGAAGAAAGUUCUUUGGGUAAGUCAUUUCACUUUUUUUGUUUUUUGCAUUUUUUUUUUCUACAUGGUUAAGUUUAAAAUCUAUUUAGAUCUCAUAUGAAAUCACGAGUUAAGAAUCUAAUUAGCCAGUAUAUACUGUACAUAGAUAGCACACAUGGUACUAAAAUAGGUUCUUGCAAGUAGCAUACUUUUUAUACUGAGUCUAUUACCCGUUCUGAACUUACCGCGUCCUUCACGUGUUUUAUUUACAUUUCCCGGAUUUUUUUAUAUAAGAAUUAUAAUAGAUUUCAAUUUUGCUUCCAUUACAAAUUAUGACUUAAAUCUUUACAAAAAAUUGCAAACAUAAUACUGAUAGCUCACGGUUUUUAGCAUGGUUUUCAAUAUUAUUAUUAUUAUUUAAAAUGCGAUUAAAAUAAUUCUCCCGAAAAGUAUUAUUUAAAUAACAUUUAAUAAUGGAGAUAGAGAUCAAUAAAUAACUUUUUUCGGCAGGUUAAAAUUUUCAAUAAGUUGUGUGUGUGUAAGGCAAGAGGCCACGUUCCACCAUGUUAAAGCCAAAUUACGGUCAGUAGGGAAAUUUACGCAUGCGUCAACAUCUGAGUUCUGUCAUGGAAUGGAGUGGUGCAACAGCAGACCUACAGAGAGAGAGAGAGAGGAGAGGAGAGACGAGAGGAGGGGGAACUCUCCUUCAGAUUGUAUCGGAUCGACAGGGUGUUAAGAUAGCUUGUGAGCAUGCUCAGUGUAACACGAUAUCCGAACGUUGCAGGCCUGUGAAUGAAGCAAAAGUCACACACGUUGCAUCUGAGGCUUUGUUUUUAUAGCCAACUAUAAAUACCCGCGAUGGACCAUCCUUUCUUGUACUCUCUCCUUUGUCUUUAUUGGCUACAUAAAAGAAUUAUCUAUAUACGUUAAAAAUAAAGCAUAACUAUCGGUUCGAUUAUCAAUUUUUAUUGUUUUUUUUUUUUAAAUUCAACACGAAUAAAAAAUUAUCUGGCGAUAGUUUU
Molecule: long non-coding RNA, 1051 nt
Filed under: Androctonus crassicauda
Lineage: Eukaryota; Metazoa; Arthropoda; Arachnida; Scorpiones; Buthidae
Source: RNAcentral